RNAcentral lists this microRNA precursor (127 nucleotides) under Pelobates cultripes (western spadefoot toad). The record is from RNAcentral. Lineage: Eukaryota; Metazoa; Chordata; Amphibia; Anura; Pelobatidae.
UUAAACCAUUCCUCUACACAAAAUCUUUCCAGAUCCUACAAAUUUAAAGAGGAAAGUUCACCAGCAUCGACCUUGAAAUUCGUAGGAUCUGGAAAGAUUUGGUGUAGAGGAAUGGUCUCAAAUCAGU